GCGCCGGUAGCUUCAACUGGAUAGAGCGCCGGAUUUCGGCUCCGGAGGUUAUGGGUUCGACUCCUAUCCGGCGCACCA
RNAcentral lists this transfer RNA (78 nucleotides) under bacterium. Its description in RNAcentral is "tRNA-Arg". It matches the Rfam family "tRNA". Rfam says of the family: Transfer RNA (tRNA) molecules are approximately 80 nucleotides in length. Their secondary structure includes four short double-helical elements and three loops (D, anti-codon, and T loops). The record is from RNAcentral. RNAcentral also lists the same sequence under 6 other names.